CAGCCGCCACGGGAAUACAGAGGGUGCGAGCGUUAAUCGGAUUUACUGGGCGUAAAGCGUGCGUAGGCGGCUAAUUGAGUCGGAUGUGAAAUCCCCGAGCUUAACUUGGGAAUUGCAUUCGAUACUGGUUAGCUAGAGUGUGGGAGAGGAUGGUAGAAUUCCAGGUGUAGCGGUGAAAUGCGUAGAGAUCUGGAGGAAUACCGAUGGCGAAGGCAGCCAUCUGGCCUAACACUGACGCUGAGGUACGAAAGCAUGGGGAGCAAACAGGAUUAGAUACCCCGGUAGUCCCUGUCUCUUAUAA
This 301-nucleotide ribosomal RNA is filed under the name uncultured bacterium. RNAcentral's name for it is "partial 16S ribosomal RNA". It matches the Rfam family "Bacterial small subunit ribosomal RNA", at positions 509 to 809 of the family's 1533-position model. The record is from RNAcentral.